Molecule: ribosomal RNA, 454 nt
Filed under: Toxoplasma gondii
Lineage: Eukaryota; Apicomplexa; Conoidasida; Eucoccidiorida; Sarcocystidae
Description: SSU rRNA
Rfam family: Eukaryotic small subunit ribosomal RNA
Source: RNAcentral
AAGCUCGUAGUUGGAUUUCUGCUGGAAGCAGCCAGUCCGCCCUCAGGGGUGUGCACUUGGUGAAUUCUAGCAUCCUUCUGGAUUUCUCCACACUUCAUUGUGUGGAGUUUUUUCCAGGACUUUUACUUUGAGAAAAUUAGAGUGUUUCAAGCAGGCUUGUCGCCUUGAAUACUGCAGCAUGGAAUAAUAAGAUAGGAUUUCGGCCCUAUUUUGUUGGUUUCUAGGACUGAAGUAAUGAUUAAUAGGGACGGUUGGGGGCAUUCGUAUUUAACUGUCAGAGGUGAAAUUCUUAGAUUUGUUAAAGACGAACUACUGCGAAAACAUUUGCCAAAGAUGUUUUCAUUAAUCAAGAACGAAAGUUAGGGGCUCGAAGACGAUCAGAUACCGUCGUAGUCUUAACCAUAAACUAUGCCGACUAGAGAUAGGAAAACGUCAUGCUUGACUUCUCCUGCAC